CUCCCUCUCUCCCUUUCCUAGGAGUGGGAGGACUACCGCCUCACCUGGAAGCCUGAGGAGUUCGACAAUAUGAAGAAAGUUCGACUCCCUUCCAAACACAUCUGGCUCCCAGAUGUGGUCCUGUACAACAAGUAGGUGACUCUGGAGGGAAGGAAGGUUGAGGGGGACCAUGGGAGUGCUCAGUGAAGGAGGAAGGCUUGUAAAAAUAAGAGAAGUAAGCUUAUGCUGUGAGAAAAGGGACUUUUCAUUGCUAGAUAUGUAGACAGGCAGUAGCCAAGGAGACAGACCCAGGAAGUGAGGUCCGGGGUGGACAGCCACAGGGAUUUGGACCAUGACGAGCCCCUUCUCAGUCAAUCAGGACUGCCAGUGUUAGGGGCUUUGGCGGGGAUUUAAAAAAUUGAAGCUCCCAGUGCCUAAACUGAUUCAAGAAUACGUUUUUCUGGAAGCCUGGGAAGAGAACCUUAAGGUCCCAGUUUCUCCUCCAGGUUCUCAGGUUCUAUCCUGUCUCCUGCAGCAAUCCCUCCAACCUCUAAGGUACAAAAUGACUUCCCUCAACUGAUGGGACCGUACUCCACUCCUACCUCCCCCUAUCCUUCUUUACUGCUUAGGGAUGCUCACUCUGGUCUCCCCACCUUCCCCAACAUCUCCACCCUCAUGAGAAACAACCAACCUGCACAAUAUGUGACAAGUAAUGGAUAUGCCCCUCCCACCUCUCUACCUGUCAUACCACCAGCAUCCCCUUCUUGCUCAACCCUGACUCUACUUCUCCGGACUCCUCCUCGAGGGUUACUCUCAGACUUGGAUGCCCCUCCUCCUACCUUCCUCUGGCUCUCCUCUCCUCCCACUCAGGGGGUCGUUGGGUGGGGACAGGGAAAUGUUUAGGCCAGGACUGACUGUGCCCACCCCUUGGCAGUGCGGAUGGCAUGUACGAGGUGUCCUUCUAUUCCAACGCGGUGGUCUCCUACGACGGUAGCAUUUUCUGGCUGCCACCUGCCAUCUACAAGAGCGCCUGCAAGAUUGAAGUGAAGCACUUCCCAUUCGACCAGCAAAACUGCACCAUGAAGUUCCGCUCCUGGACCUACGACCGUACGGAGAUCGACCUGGUGCUCAAGAGCGAUGUGGCCAGCCUGGACGACUUCACACCCAGCGGGGAGUGGGACAUUGUGGCCCUCCCGGGCCGGCGCAACGAGAACCCCGACGACUCCACGUAUGUGGACAUCACCUACGACUUCAUCAUCCGCCGCAAGCCGCUCUUCUACACCAUCAACCUCAUCAUCCCGUGCGUGCUCAUCACCUCGCUGGCCAUCCUGGUCUUCUACCUGCCCUCGGACUGCGGCGAGAAGAUGACCCUGUGCAUCUCUGUGCUGCUGGCGCUCACCGUCUUCCUGCUGCUCAUCUCCAAGAUCGUGCCGCCCACCUCCCUGGACGUGCCGCUCGUGGGCAAGUACCUCAUGUUCACCAUGGUGCUUGUCACCUUCUCCAUCGUCACCAGCGUAUGUGUGCUCAACGUGCACCACCGCUCUCCCACCACGCACACCAUGGCGCCCUGGGUCAAGGUCGUCUUUCUGGAGAAGCUGCCCACUUUGCUCUUCAUGCAGCAGCCGCGCCACCAUUGUGCCCGCCAGCGCCUCCGCAUGCGGCGUCGCCAGCGAGAGCGCGAGGGCGCCGGGGCCCUCUUCUUCCGCGAAGCCCCCGGGGCCGACUCCUGCACCUGCUUCGUCAACCGCGCCUCGGUGCAAGGCUUGGCCGGGGCUUUCGGGUCGGAGCCUGCGCCCGUGGCCGGCUCGGGCCGUUCUGCGGGACCCUGUGGCUGUGGCCUCCGGGAAGCGGUAGACGGCGUUCGCUUCAUUGCUGACCACAUGCGGAGUGAGGACGACGACCAGAGCGUGAGUGCAGCGCCAAGACGCUGAGGGGUCGUGAGAUGGGACUCC
This 1931-nucleotide long non-coding RNA is filed under the name Marmota monax (woodchuck). Lineage: Eukaryota; Metazoa; Chordata; Mammalia; Rodentia; Sciuridae. The record is from RNAcentral.